RNAcentral lists this ribosomal RNA (1469 nucleotides) under Streptococcus thermophilus. Its description in RNAcentral is "bacterial SSU rRNA". It matches the Rfam family "Bacterial small subunit ribosomal RNA". Lineage: Bacteria; Bacillati; Bacillota; Bacilli; Lactobacillales; Streptococcaceae. The record is from RNAcentral.
GAACGCUGGCGGCGUGCCUAAUACAUGCAAGUAGAACGCUGAAGAGAGGAGCUUGCUCUUCUUGGAUGAGUUGCGAACGGGUGAGUAACGCGUAGGUAACCUGCCUUGUAGCGGGGGAUAACUAUUGGAAACGAUAGCUAAUACCGCAUAACAAUGGAUGACACAUGUCAUUUAUUUGAAAGGGGCAAUUGCUCCACUACAAGAUGGACCUGCGUUGUAUUAGCUAGUAGGUGAGGUAAUGGCUCACCUAGGCGACGAUACAUAGCCGACCUGAGAGGGUGAUCGGCCACACUGGGACUGAGACACGGCCCAGACUCCUACGGGAGGCAGCAGUAGGGAAUCUUCGGCAAUGGGGGCAACCCUGACCGAGCAACGCCGCGUGAGUGAAGAAGGUUUUCGGAUCGUAAAGCUCUGUUGUAAGUCAAGAACGGGUGUGAGAGUGGAAAGUUCACACUGUGACGGUAGCUUACCAGAAAGGGACGGCUAACUACGUGCCAGCAGCCGCGGUAAUACGUAGGUCCCGAGCGUUGUCCGGAUUUAUUGGGCGUAAAGCGAGCGCAGGCGGUUUGAUAAGUCUGAAGUUAAAGGCUGUGGCUCAACCAUAGUUCGCUUUGGAAACUGUCAAACUUGAGUGCAGAAGGGGAGAGUGGAAUUCCAUGUGUAGCGGUGAAAUGCGUAGAUAUAUGGAGGAACACCGGUGGCGAAAGCGGCUCUCUGGUCUGCAACUGACGCUGAGGCUCGAAAGCGUGGGGAGCGAACAGGAUUAGAUACCCUGGUAGUCCACGCCGUAAACGAUGAGUGCUAGGUGUUGGAUCCUUUCCGGGAUUCAGUGCCGCAGCUAACGCAUUAAGCACUCCGCCUGGGGAGUACGACCGCAAGGUUGAAACUCAAAGGAAUUGACGGGGGCCCGCACAAGCGGUGGAGCAUGUGGUUUAAUUCGAAGCAACGCGAAGAACCUUACCAGGUCUUGACAUCCCGAUGCUAUUUCUAGAGAUAGAAAGUUACUUCGGUACAUCGGUGACAGGUGGUGCAUGGUUGUCGUCAGCUCGUGUCGUGAGAUGUUGGGUUAAGUCCCGCAACGAGCGCAACCCCUAUUGUUAGUUGCCAUCAUUCAGUUGGGCACUCUAGCGAGACUGCCGGUAAUAAACCGGAGGAAGGUGGGGAUGACGUCAAAUCAUCAUGCCCCUUAUGACCUGGGCUACACACGUGCUACAAUGGUUGGUACAACGAGUUGCGAGUCGGUGACGGCGAGCUAAUCUCUUAAAGCCAAUCUCAGUUCGGAUUGUAGGCUGCAACUCGCCUACAUGAAGUCGGAAUCGCUAGUAAUCGCGGAUCAGCACGCCGCGGUGAAUACGUUCCCGGGCCUUGUACACACCGCCCGUCACACCACGAGAGUUUGUAACACCCGAAGUCGGUGAGGUAACCUUUUGGAGCCAGCCGCCUAAGGUGGGACAGAUGAUUGGGUGAAG